AUACGCACACUUAAGACUUUAG
RNAcentral lists this microRNA (22 nucleotides) under Mus musculus (house mouse). RNAcentral's name for it is "mmu-miR-5709-5p". Lineage: Eukaryota; Metazoa; Chordata; Mammalia; Rodentia; Muridae. The record is from miRBase by way of RNAcentral.